GGAGAUGUAGCUCAGUGGUAGAGCGCCUGCUUAGCAUACCCAAGGUCCUGGGUUCAAUCCCCAGUACCUCCA
RNAcentral lists this transfer RNA (72 nucleotides) under Camelus bactrianus (Bactrian camel). It matches the Rfam family "tRNA". From Rfam's summary of the family: Transfer RNA (tRNA) molecules are approximately 80 nucleotides in length. Their secondary structure includes four short double-helical elements and three loops (D, anti-codon, and T loops). RNAcentral also lists the same sequence under 2 other names. The record is from Rfam by way of RNAcentral. Lineage: Eukaryota; Metazoa; Chordata; Mammalia; Artiodactyla; Camelidae.